UACAGAGGGGGCAAGCGUUGUUCGGAAUUACUGGGCGUAAAGGGCGCGUAGGCGGCCUUCUAAGUCGAACGUGAAAUCCCCGGGCUCAACCCGGGAACUGCGUCCGAUACUGGAAGGCUUGAAUCCGGGAGAGGGAUGCGGAAUUCCAGGUGUAGCGGUGAAAUGCGUAGAUAUCAUCAGGAACACCGGAGGCGAAGGCGGCUCACUGGGUCUUUCCUGACGCUGAGGAACGAAAGCUAGGGGAGCGAACGGG
RNAcentral lists this ribosomal RNA (253 nucleotides) under uncultured bacterium. RNAcentral's name for it is "partial 16S ribosomal RNA". It matches the Rfam family "Bacterial small subunit ribosomal RNA", at positions 524 to 776 of the family's 1533-position model. The record is from RNAcentral.